RNAcentral lists this unclassified non-coding RNA (3475 nucleotides) under Hevea brasiliensis (rubber tree). Lineage: Eukaryota; Viridiplantae; Streptophyta; Magnoliopsida; Malpighiales; Euphorbiaceae. The record is from RNAcentral.
UUUGCAUAUGAACGGUCAAACACUGGGGAAAGAAUUGAAAUAAUCCUCACACAAGUGAACUUUUUGAAUCACAAAUUUCCAUUCUAGGUAAAACUUCAACCAUAGCAAAGCGAAGCUGCCUUUGCCUUCUCCUUCAACAUUCAUUCAUUCGGGAUCGAACAAAGAAUCUCCCACUCUGCCUCUGCCUUCAAUUCAUAGCACAACACACGCAGAGAUUGAUUCCAAUCGUUUCUUUUCUCUUGCAUCCGCUGGAGGAAAAUCAAAAUCUCCAAUUCAUAGUCAGAAUGUGCACACACAAACUUGUGUAUAUUAGAAAGAAAUCCAUUAAUACGGCACCGUUUUUAUUACUAUAAGAAUAGUUAUGUGGAGAAGGAAGAAGAUGAAGCUGUGCUUCACCUUGUUGUUCUUCUCUUGUUAGAAUUCAUGGCUUCCUCUUCUCAGCAUCGCUGCGUUUUUGUUGGGAAUAUACCAUAUGAUGCUACUGAGGAACAGCUUAUGGAUAUCUGCAGAGAGGUUGGGCCUGUAGUGUCUUUCAGGUUAGUCAUUGAUAGAGAAACCGGAAAACCAAAGGGUUAUGGCUUCUGUGAAUAUAAGGAUGAAGAAACAGCUCUGAGUGCUCGUCGUAAUCUUCAGGGUUAUCAGAUCAAUGGCAGGCAAUUACGGGUUGAUUUUGCUGAAAAUGACAAAAAUGCUGACAGAAAUCGAGAGCAGGGUCGUGGGGGACCUGGACUAGCUGCAAGUGUUGACCCUCAGAAACAAGUAGGGGGCCCAGCAAUCCUCGGGGAAUCUGCACAGCAUCAGCCAAUUGGUCUCCAUAUAGCCAUAACUGCUGCAACUGUCAUGGCAGGAGCUUUAGGUGGUGCUCAGACAGGCAUGCUGGCCAAUCAAAAUGGUUUGCAGAGUCAGUCAGCAUUAGCCAGUGAUCCUUUAACUCUUCAUUUGGCCAAAAUGUCAAGGAGUCAAUUGAAUGAUAUCAUGUCGGAGCUGAAGGUCAUGGCAACGCAAAACAGGGAACUAGCUCGCCAGCUACUGCUUGCGAGACCACAGUUGCCAAAAGCUCUUUUUCAGGCACAGAUAAUGCUGGGAAUGGUGACCCCCCAAGUGGUUGAUUUUGAUAACUCAAAAGAAUAAUUUAUUUUGGUGUUAUUUCUUAGCAAUUAUGCCACCUGAGAAAUGCUUAUGGAUUGUGCAGUUGCAGACGCCAAAUAUUCGGCAGCCUCCAGGUCAAUCUGCACUUCAUUCCUUACAAAACACUCAGCAGGGUAAGCAGUCAGCAAUUCAAACUCUUACUGGGUUACCCCCCCUUGCACAGAGAACACACUCUGGCUUGGUGUCCAAACUGCAAGAGGGCCAAUUCUCUGCUAUGCCUCAAAACUCUUUGCUACAAAACCAAUUUUCUGCACUCCCACAAUCCAUGCAGCCUCGAACUCUGAUUCCACAACAUGCCAAUAGCAAUGUUCCUCAACAAGCCACAUUACCAGGCCAGUCUGGAGUUCCACCACUUCCUCCUGUACACCUCUCUGUUAGACCACAAAUUCAGGUGGCAAGUUUCUCUUCUUUAAACCAACAAGUACCACCUUCAUUGCUACAACACUCUGGACAACAGGUUGGAACUGCAAAUUUUGGGCAUACCUCUCAGUUGGUUCUUUCAAAUGCAUCAAUACAAUCAUCUGUUGUAUCUCGUCCUUCCCCAUCCAAUGCUGCAUUCCAGGUACCAUAAUUUGCUGGCACUCUUAUUAUCCACUGCAGAAAAAGGAAGGAUCAGAUGUGAAUGCUUUGGUAGCAAGUAACUUCCCCCUCCUCUUCCUUCCCUCCAUCCCUCCCAGGGUCUGCUUUUGUAUGAUGAAAAUGCUCCUGGUUGCAUACCAACCUUGGAUUAGGAACAGAUAAAAGAAAGAAGCGGGUACAUGAGUUAUACUGAAUUCCCAGUAAUGGCUCAUGCCAAAUCAUUUUGCUUAAGCAUUUUAUGUGGAAGUAUUCCCAAAUUGGGAAGUAAUCAUUUUCUAUUUCACAAAAAAGCAAGGUCAUUCUCUCUUGUAUACUCGUGUAUGUAGGCUGCAACUGAUUGCUUUUUUUUAGUGGUGAAUAUUUGCUACUUAAGUGUAGAGAAACACUUGCACUCUGUUUGCAGGGGGGGAAUGGAUGGAAGGAAAAUAAAGGAUAGAAAAUAAAAGGGGAAAGGUAUUGUACAUGGGAUAAUGAAGAGAAAGUUGACAGAAAUAAAAUAUAAAGAAAUUUUACAACAAAAAUCUCUUGAGAGAGUGCAGGUGAAAAUGAUGGAAAAUUCUCAUUUACUCUUAUUAAAAUUUUUUGCAUAUGGAAAAAUGAACGAUAUAAUUUCGCUUUCGUCAACUUUCUCUCCACAUUCAUUCCCUUCAUUUUUCUCCCAUACAAACAAAAGAAGUAAAAAAAUUUUCUUCUCAAGAACUCUUUCUUAACCCAUCUUUAUUACCAAACAGAUGACUAGUGAAUUUUGAUUAGUAUAUGUAUGAUAGAUGUGAACUUUGCUUUAAAUUUUGGUCACAAUUAUUUCUAUUGGUUUCUAAUGUACUUCAUAAUAACAGGCUGGCCCCCCAAUAUCAUCAGACAUUUCAGAUGCAGUUGGAAAUGGUACUGAUAGAUCUAUCCAUGCUCCUGAUGAUAUAGCUCUGGUCUGCAGAAGUAAUGCUUAUUUGAACACACAAAUAAAUGUGGUUAACGAUUCUAAAGAACCAAUUAAUCACCCUUCAAAGCUGCUAAAAUUGAAUGAUGGAAGGAGCAUGUCUAUCUCAUCGGGGGCUUUGUGUGUGCCCAAUUCCACUGUAUCUGGACCAUCCCAAGCAUUUACAGUCAGUUCAGUGCCUUCAAAUCCACUUCCUAAUCCAGAAGAGCUGCAACAAUCUGAAAAACAAGUUUCUCAAUCUCAGCUUCAUCCAGAUGUGGAGUCUGCAUUAUUGCAGCAAGUGCUGAACCUCACACCAGAGCAGUUGAAUUUAUUGCCACCAGAACAGCGACAAGAAGUUAUUCAGCUCCAACAAGCACUUAGGAGAGAUCAGACACAACCAUCAUAGCAGGCACGGGGUAACACAGAAACUCUCUGAUGCAUUCGUUGUUCAUCAUUGCAGGAUCCUUCCUUGGUGGAAGAAAAAUGCAUGCUAUUGAUUCAUCUAAUCCUCAAAGCGUGUAAAAUGAUAGUUCACAUGAUGUCCAGUUCUAAAAUGUGAAAUGCACAAGCAUUAUGCCAUCCAUGUAACAUUGAUUAGCUUGUGAUUAGCAUACCUGAAAGAAUAAUUUAUUAGAAAAGAAAAGAAAUUUUACAGCAUUUUUUUUAGCUAUUGGAGUUCCAUUUUUCACAUAAUAUAUUUUGAACAUUUUAUCCCUUCCAAGGACUGGCUUUGCCAGCUGAUGUCUCUGCUUCACCUAUUUGACAGUACUUUACGAAUGAGCGUGACUAUGGUUGCCCUUUGGUUAAUUAAUAUAAUCACCUUCAUUUGAG